Molecule: ribosomal RNA, 1396 nt
Filed under: Escherichia coli
Lineage: Bacteria; Pseudomonadati; Pseudomonadota; Gammaproteobacteria; Enterobacterales; Enterobacteriaceae
Description: bacterial SSU rRNA
Rfam family: Bacterial small subunit ribosomal RNA
Source: RNAcentral
GAAACGGUAGCUAAUACCGCAUAACGUCGCAAGACCAAAGAGGGGGACCUUAGGGCCUCUUGCCAUCGGAUGUGCCCAGAUGGGAUUAGCUAGUAGGUGGGGUAACGGCUCACCUAGGCGACGAUCCCUAGCUGGUCUGAGAGGAUGACCAGCCACACUGGAACUGAGACACGGUCCAGACUCCUACGGGAGGCAGCAGUGGGGAAUAUUGCACAAUGGGCGCAAGCCUGAUGCAGCCAUGCCGCGUGUAUGAAGAAGGCCUUCGGGUUGUAAAGUACUUUCAGCGGGGAGGAAGGGAGUAAAGUUAAUACCUUUGCUCAUUGACGUUACCCGCAGAAGAAGCACCGGCUAACUCCGUGCCAGCAGCCGCGGUAAUACGGAGGGUGCAAGCGUUAAUCGGAAUUACUGGGCGUAAAGCGCACGCAGGCGGUUUGUUAAGUCAGAUGUGAAAUCCCCGGGCUCAACCUGGGAACUGCAUCUGAUACUGGCAAGCUUGAGUCUCGUAGAGGGGGGUAGAAUUCCAGGUGUAGCGGUGAAAUGCGUAGAGAUCUGGAGGAAUACCGGUGGCGAAGGCGGCCCCCUGGACGAAGACUGACGCUCAGGUGCGAAAGCGUGGGGAGCAAACAGGAUUAGAUACCCUGGUAGUCCACGCCGUAAACGAUGUCGACUUGGAGGUUGUGCCCUUGAGGCGUGGCUUCCGGAGCUAACGCGUUAAGUCGACCGCCUGGGGAGUACGGCCGCAAGGUUAAAACUCAAAUGAAUUGACGGGGGCCCGCACAAGCGGUGGAGCAUGUGGUUUAAUUCGAUGCAACGCGAAGAACCUUACCUGGUCUUGACAUCCACGGAAGUUUUCAGAGAUGAGAAUGUGCCUUCGGGAACCGUGAGACAGGUGCUGCAUGGCUGUCGUCAGCUCGUGUUGUGAAAUGUUGGGUUAAGUCCCGCAACGAGCGCAACCCUUAUCCUUUGUUGCCAGCGGUCCGGCCGGGAACUCAAAGGAGACUGCCAGUGAUAAACUGGAGGAAGGUGGGGAUGACGUCAAGUCAUCAUGGCCCUUACGACCAGGGCUACACACGUGCUACAAUGGCGCAUACAAAGAGAAGCGACCUCGCGAGAGCAAGCGGACCUCAUAAAGUGCGUCGUAGUCCGGAUUGGAGUCUGCAACUCGACUCCAUGAAGUCGGAAUCGCUAGUAAUCGUGGAUCAGAAUGCCACGGUGAAUACGUUCCCGGGCCUUGUACACACCGCCCGUCACACCAUGGGAGUGGGUUGCAAAAGAAGUAGGUAGCUUAACCUUCGGGAGGGCGCUUACCACUUUGUGAUUCAUGACUGGGGUGAAGUCGUAACAAGGUAACCGUAGGGGAACCUGCGGUUGGAUCACCUCCUUACCUUAAAGAAGC